RNAcentral lists this ribosomal RNA (1047 nucleotides) under uncultured bacterium. RNAcentral describes it as "bacterial SSU rRNA". It matches the Rfam family "Bacterial small subunit ribosomal RNA", at positions 46 to 1082 of the family's 1533-position model. The record is from RNAcentral.
GCCUACACAUGCAAGUCGAGGGGCAGCACAAAAAUUAGUUUACUAGUUUUGGUGGCGACCGGCGCACGGGUGCGUAACGCGUAUGCAACCUACCUCUUACAGGGGGAUAAUCCGAAGAAAUUUGGUCUAAUAUCCCAUAAUAUCGGAAAGGGCAUCCUUUUUGGUUAAAAGCUCCGGCGGUAAGAGAUGGGCAUGCGUUGUAUUAGGUAGUUGGUAGGGUAACGGCCUACCAAGCCUACGAUACAUAGGGGGACUGAGAGGUUAGCCCCCCACACUGGUACUGAGACACGGACCAGACUCCUACGGGAGGCAGCAGUGAGGAAUAUUGGUCAAUGGGCGCAAGCCUGAACCAGCCAUGCCGCGUGCAGGAAGACGGCUCUAUGAGUUGUAAACUGCUUUUAUACCAGGGUAAACGGGAGUACGAGUACUCUUUUGAAAGUAUGGUAUGAAUAAGGAUCGGCUAACUCCGUGCCAGCAGCCGCGGUAAUACGGAGGAUCCAAGCGUUAUCCGGAUUUAUUGGGUUUAAAGGGUGCGUAGGCGGCUAUUUAAGUUAGAGGUGAAAUCCCGUAGCUCAACUACGGAACUGCCUCUGAUACUGGAUAGCUAGCGAGUAGAUGCUGUUGGCGGAAUGUGUGGUGUAGCGGUGAAAUGCUUAGAGAUCACACAGAACACCGAUUGCGAAGGCAGCUGACAAAUCUAUAUCGGACGCUGAGGCACGAAAGCGUGGGGAGCAAACAGGAUUAGAUACCCUGGUAGUCCACGCCGUAAACGAUGAUAACUCGAUGUCGGCGAUACACAGCCCGGUGUCCAAGCGAAAGCGAUAAGUUAUCCACCUGGGGAGUACGUUCGCAAGAAUGAAACCUCNAAGGAAUUGACGGGGGCCCCCACCAAACCGGAGGAACAUGUGGUUUAAUUCCAUGAUACCCGAGGAACCUUACCCGGGCUUGAAAGUUACCNACGGAUUCNGAAUGAGUNCUCCCCUUCGGGGCCCNAAAACUAGGUGCUGCNUGGNUGUCCCCCACCNCNUGGCCGGAGGUGUCGGGUUA